CAAGUCAGAGCGGAAGCACUGGUGGACUGUACUGGAGUGAGAAUGCCGGAAUGAGUAGCGAGAAUUAUGUGGGAAUCAUAAUGGCCGAAAAUCUAAGGUUUCUUGGGGAAGGUUCGUCCGCCCAAGGUAAGUCGGGAGCUAAGCUCAGGCCGAGAGGCGUAGGCGAUGCACAUACGGUAGAAAUUCCGUAACCACCGAAACUUAAACAGAGGGACACUUCGAAAUAGCGGAACCCGGGCGUUGGUUGACCCGGGCGUAAGGGAGCGAAAUUAGAGUAGCGAAGUCCGCGAUGUUCGGAGGCGAGAAAAGCUCUGAGGUAUGCUAAGGUGCCUGUACCGCAAACCGACACGGGUAGAUGAGGAGAGAAUCCUAAGGCCAACGGGAGAAGGGUUGUUAAGGAACUCGGCAAAUUGACCCCGUAACUUCGGAAGAAGGGGAGCCCCCUACGGGGGGUCGCAGAGAAAUGGCCCAAGCAACUGUUUACCAAAAACACAGGUCUAUGCUAAAUCGAAAGAUGACGUAUAUGGGCUGACGCCUGCCCGGUGCCGGAAGGUUAAGAGGAGAUGUCAGGCAACGAAGCAUUGAAUUUAAGCCCCGGUAAACGGCGGCCGUAACAAUAACGGUCCUAAGGUAGCGAAAUUCCUUGUCAGGUAAGUUCUGACCCGCACGAAUGGCGUAAUGAUUUGGGCACUGUCUCAACAGCCCGCCCGGCGAAAUUGUAGUACUGGUGAAGAUGCCAGUUACCCGCAACUAGACGGAAAGACCCCAUGGAGCUUUACUGCAGCUUAAUACUGAAAUUCGGUAGUACAUGUACAGGAUAGGUGGGAGACUGAGAAAUACAGGCGUCAGCUUGUAUGGAGUCGCUGUUGGGAUACCACUCUUGUACUGCUGGGUUUCUAACCUGCGGCCGUGAAUCCGGUCGGGGGACACUGUUAGGCGGGCAGUUUGACUGGGGCGGUCGCCUCCCAAAAGGUAACGGAGGCGCUCAAAGGUUCGUUCAGCACGGACGGAAAUCGUGCAAUGAGUGUAAACGCAUAAACGAGCCUAACUGCGACACCGACGGGUGGAGCAGUAACGAAAGUUGGAGUUAGUGAUCCGGUGGUAUGUGAGUGGAAAUGCCAUCGCUCAACGGAUAAAAGCUACCCUGGGAUAACAGGCUGAUCUCCCCCAAGCGUCCACAGCGACGGGGAGGUUUGGCACCUCGAUGUCGGCUCGUCGCAUCCUGGGGCUGAAUUCGGUCCCAAGGGUUUGGCUGUUCGCCAAUUAAAGCGGCACGCGAGCUGGGUUCAGAACGUCGUGAGACAGUUCGGUCCCUAUCUGUUGCGGGCGUAAGAGAUUUGAAGGGAGCUGUCCUUAGUACGAGAGGACCGGGAUGGACGUACCUCUGGUGCACCAGUUGUCCUGCCAAGGGCAUAGCUGGGUAGCUAUGUACGGACGAGAUAAACGCUGAAAGCAUCUAAGCGUGAAACUCCCCCUAAGAUGAGAUCUCUCAUCCUUCAAGGAGUAAGGACCCAGAAAGACGAUCUGGUUGAUAGGCCGAAGGUGGAAGCGCAGUAAUGUGUGCAGCUGAUCGGUACUAAUAGUCCGAGGGCUUGAGCAA
RNAcentral lists this ribosomal RNA (1600 nucleotides) under metagenome. RNAcentral describes it as "bacterial LSU rRNA". It matches the Rfam family "Bacterial large subunit ribosomal RNA", at positions 1252 to 2925 of the family's 2925-position model. The record is from RNAcentral.